RNAcentral lists this long non-coding RNA (549 nucleotides) under Olea europaea (common olive). RNAcentral describes it as "long non-coding RNA (OEUR_LNC006294)". The record is from RNAcentral. Lineage: Eukaryota; Viridiplantae; Streptophyta; Magnoliopsida; Lamiales; Oleaceae.
GAGCCCUACAGCAACCAUCCACCAUUCGACACCACCGACCACACCUCAAAACAAUCUAGAUUGAGCGGCGCACAUGAAUCUCACGACGUCAUAUACAAUAACUUUCGAUUUCUGCCAUAGGAAAUUUCUGUAAUUCCUUGUAUGGUUCAGAUGGAUCCGACAGGAGCAGUCUCUGAUUUAUAACUUCAGUAUGCAUGUGGUGUUGCAAUCUGGAGCAGAAUCUGAUUUUCGUAAACCUCAGUAUGUAGCUUAUUCGGAAAAAUAUGAACAAAAAAUUUUGUCCAGCAGUGACAAAAAUUUUGGUGGGGAAACGGUGCCUCCUUUUACCGCCAGAGUUUGGAUCUCAUGAUUACACAUAAUUUUGUGGAAAAUUUGAUGAGAAAACUGGAUGGAAGCAAAUUUGAAUUUGUUUGGAUUUUUGCUACAAAGGAAGACACAAAAGUUACGUUUAUGAAGAAGAAGCAGAAAAAGACUUGCACAGGAAAAAAAAUUUGGCUAGUUUUAUUUUGCCGGGCGAGCAGCACAAGGUCGCUCACCGAAAAUGCAAUU